Molecule: ribosomal RNA, 117 nt
Filed under: Caldifarciminota bacterium
Lineage: Bacteria; Pseudomonadati; Caldifarciminota
Source: RNAcentral
CCCGGUGGCUUUACCAGAGGGGAAACACCCGUUCCCAUUCCGAACACGGAAGUUAAGCCCUCUAAGGCCGAUGGUACUUUCCUCGCAAGGGGAUGGGAGAGUAGGUCGCUGCCGGGC